Homo sapiens (human) is the source of this 525-nucleotide long non-coding RNA. The record is from Ensembl. Lineage: Eukaryota; Metazoa; Chordata; Mammalia; Primates; Hominidae.
CACGUCCCUCAGCGCCCCCGCGUGCGUCCCCACGUCACUCAGGGGCCCUGCGUGCGUCCGCUCAGUGGCCGGGUGUAUGUCCCCUCAGCGGUCCAGCAUGUAGGUUGUGUGGUGUUGCUUUUCGAGGUGGUUUGUGAUGCUUGGAGGACCCUGCAGGUUACCUGGGCCCCACCAGGUCAUCAGGAGCAUCUCCCAUCUCAAGAUUCAUCACCGAGUUCCCUAUGCAGAGUCCCUGGUGCGGUGUAAGCAAGCAAUCCACAGGUUCCAGCGGGUGGGGUGUGGAUAUCAGGCAUGCGUGUUCUUCCAAGCUUGCAAAAGUUACACAAAUGUAUGCCAUGAGGGUUAGAGGUGAGGACAUAACUCCAAAGCAGACUCCAGGUCUUCCCAGGCCACACAUUCUCUUCCCAUCAUUAAUUGGAAUUGGAAUUCGUUUUUGUGCCAUAGCGUAUGUUUCAAAGUCACGUUCAGGUGAAUCAUUAAAUGCUACCAACCAUAGACAAUAAAAUAAUAAAAUCUAAAAGUUCA